Molecule: long non-coding RNA, 917 nt
Organism: Salvia splendens (bonfire salvia)
Lineage: Eukaryota; Viridiplantae; Streptophyta; Magnoliopsida; Lamiales; Lamiaceae
Exons: 4
Source: RefSeq, a predicted model, not a curated record
AUUAAAUGAAUGGUACAAGUCGAAUCUUGUGGAAUAUAAAUUGUGGGCUACGCAAUUUAAAUUAAAAAUACAAAGGGUCUUGAGCCCAAUUUAAUUUAAUUAAAUCCCUUCUUGUGAGCCCAAGUACUAAAUCCUGUUUCUUAAACCCAAAAGAUCCCUUUCAAUAUAGCGCCUGAAUCAAGUCUUCCUCUCUUCAUGCGUUUUUCCCCUAACUCUCUCCCUUGUCUGCAAAUUUUCUUCCAAAAUUAAAUUAGUCAAUCAGCCUUUACUCUCCCUUUCAAAAUUUCACCAUGCUCUCUCAUUAGAACAAGGCUGUUUUUUUCUCCUACUUUCAAUUCCAACCAAGUACAAGAAAUUAAAAAGAAAUAGGGAGAGGAAGUUUCCCAUGUUCGUCCUAGCACGGUUGAGGUUAAGUUUUGAAGCAAAUCUUUUCCAGAUUUAGUCCACUGCGUGCUCCAUAUUCCAGCGUUUAGCCGAGUGCUUACUGCUAAUCGACGAUCAAUCUUUGUUGAAGCAAUUUUUUGAAUCCAAAUAUUACGAAUACGGUUCAUCCCCGGUAUUUCAAGUAUCAAUGGAAGAAGGACGCGUUGUGCCUGCAUGUUCUGAGCAGAUAAAGCCUGUAGUUGGUCAGAGGUUCGAAUCAUUAGAGUUUGCUCUCGCGUUUUAUGAUGUGUAUGCUAGGGCCGUUGGGUUUGACACGCGCAAACAAGGUGUGAGGAAGGUGGACGAAGUUACAACGUGGUAUUACGUCGUAUACAAUAGGGAGGGCCAUAAGAAGUCCAUCGACGAUAUACAUAAUAUACAUUUUAGUGUAGUAUAAUGCGUAUGCAAUAGGGAGGGCCAUAAGAAGUCCAUCGACCAUAAGAAGUCCCUAAGGGUUUAACAAGCCCAGGGGCUAGGGUGUAGUAUGUUUUAAG